UUAAAUGAGAGUUUGAUCCUGGCUCAGGAUGAACGUUGGCGGCGUGUCUAAGGCAUGCAAGUCGAGUGGGUUUAGACCCACGGCAAACGGGUGCGUAACACAUUGGUAAUUUACCCUUAACUCGGGCAUAACUCGCCGAAAGGCAAGAUAAUUCCCGAUGGUCAUGGGGGGACGAAAGUCAUUCCCAUGUAAAGAUUUAUCGGUUAAGGAAAAGCCUAUGGCCCAUCAGCUAGUUGGUAGGGUAAUGGCCUACCAAGGCAACGACGGGUAGCGGGUGUGAGAGCAUGACCCGCCUCACUGGGACUGAGACACUGCCCCGACUCCUCCGGGAGGCUGCAGUCAAGAAUAUUCCGCAAUGGCCGCAAGGCUGACGGAGCGACGCCGCGUGCAGGAUGACGCCCUUCGGGGUGUAAACUGCUUUUUUCUGGGACGAAAUUUUGACGGUACCAGAAGAAUAAGCCACUGCUAACCUCGUGCCAGCAGCAGCGGUAAUACGAGGGUGGCAAACGUUAUCCGGAUUUAUUGGGUGUAAAGCGUCUUCAGGCGGUUUACUAAGUUUUUGGUUAAAUCUAAAGGCCUAACCUUUAGCCCGCCAAAAAAACUGGUAGACUAGAGACCGGGAGAGGUCAGUGGAAUAGCCGGUGUAGUAGUAAAAUGCGUUAAUAUCGGCUAGAACACCAAUAGCGAAGGCAACUGACUAGAACGGUUCUGACGCUCAUAAGACGAAAGCGUGGGUAGCGAAUGGGAUUAGAUACCCCAGUAGUCCACGCUGUAAACGAUGGGUACUGAGUAUUGGAAGUAUCGACCCUUCCAGUAUUGUCAAUCUAAGCUAACGCCUUAAGUACCCCACCUGGGGAGUACGGUCGCAAGACUAAAACUCAAAGGAAUUGACGGGAGUCCGCACAAGCGGUGGAGCAUGUGGUUUAAUUCGACAAUAAGCGAGGAACCUUACCAGGGCUUGACAUGUUAGGAAUCUCGGCGAAAGUUGAGAGUGCCCGCAAGGGAGCCUAAACACAGGUGCUGCAUGGUUGUCGUCAGCUCGUGUCUUGAGAUGUUGGGUUAAGUCCUUUAACGAGCGCAACCCCUACUCUGUGUUAAAUAUUCACAGAGAACUGCCUCGGACAACGGGGAGGAAGGCGGGGAUGACGUCAAAUCAGCAUGGCUCUUACGCCCUGGGCCACACACGUGCUACAAUGGCGAGUACAGAGGGUCGCAAAAUCGCAAGAUGAAGCUAAUCCCAUCAAAACUCGUCCUAGUUCGGAUUGAGGUCUGCAAUUCGACCUCAUGAAGCUGGAAUCGCUAGUAACCGUGGAUCAGCCACGCCACGGUGAAUACGUUCUCGGACUUUGUACACACCGCCCGUCACGUCAAGAGAGUCGGUGGCACCCGAAAGCUGGCUUUACGCCGGACUAAGGUGAAAUCGAUGAUAGGGACGAAGUCGUAACAAGGCAUCCGUAGCGGAAGCUGUGGAUGGAUCACCUCCUUU
RNAcentral lists this ribosomal RNA (1486 nucleotides) under Candidatus Komeilibacteria bacterium. RNAcentral describes it as "bacterial SSU rRNA". It matches the Rfam family "Bacterial small subunit ribosomal RNA". Lineage: Bacteria; Candidatus Komeiliibacteriota. The record is from RNAcentral.